This 433-nucleotide ribosomal RNA is filed under the name uncultured bacterium. Its description in RNAcentral is "partial 16S ribosomal RNA". It matches the Rfam family "Bacterial small subunit ribosomal RNA", at positions 39 to 507 of the family's 1533-position model. The record is from RNAcentral.
GGGGGGGGGGGGGGGGGGGGCGGGCGGGUGCGGGGCGAGGGGGGCCGGCGGGGCGGGUGGCGGAGGGGGGCGGAGCGCGUGGGAACCUGCCCUUAGGUUCGGAAUAACUCCCCGAGAGGGGGGCUAAUACCGGAGAAUGUCGUCGGACCAAAGAUUUAUCGCCUUUGGAUGGGCCCGCGUUGGAUUAGCUAGUUGGUAGGGUAAAAGCCUACCAAGGCGACGAUCCAUAGCUGGUCUGAGAGGAUGAUCAGCCACAAUGGGACUGAGACACGGCCCAGACUCCUACGGGAGGCAGCAGUGGGGAAUAUUGGACAAUGGGCGAAAGCCUGAUCCAGCAAUGCCGCGUGAGUGAUGAAGGCCUUAGGGUUGUAAAGCUCUUUUACCCGGGAUGAUAAUGACAGUACCGGGAGAAUAAGCUCCGGCUAACUCCGUG